ACAACUCAAACAGGUAUGGACUCUCUGUUCGGCAAGCUUACAACUGAUGUCCCCUUUGGAUAGUCCUUUUCUACUAGUACAAGAUAAUUGGCAAAGAAUUCUCUUACCCAAUUUGGUUGAAACACUGCUGGUGGUCUGCUCAUCCAUGCUAGUUCAUACUCAUUAAAAUGGGGUUCCAACUCAGGAUACUCAAGUAGCUUCGUUUUCACACUCUGAUGUUCCUCUGCGAAUGGCCUUUUUAUCUCUCUUUCUGUAGGUGUCAAUCAGUCAUAGUUUCUCUCAUGCUCCCUGUAUCUUCCAUCUAAUCACCUCUCAAACUUGAUAAUCCUUACGCCUGAUAACAUUGGCAUCCUCAGGUUCAUUAUCCACAUCAGUUGCUUCCAUUUGUUCUACCACAUUGGCAGCUUUAGUUUCACCUACAGUAGGCGCAGGUUGACAUAUAGUAACCGUUGCUUCGUCUGGGCUUGAGCUGGUACUGAUUGUACUACUGUCGCUCUCCUCUUUAGUCUACAAAAGUAUUAGAGGUUCCCUUUCCUAUUGCCUGGUAUUGUAAGAAGGUGCAGGUUCGUCUCUACCUCUUAAGGAUCUUCUUCCUCUGUUUAGUAGUAGUUUACGAGCCAUAUUGCCUGAAAUAGAAGUAAGGAAUUAGUUUAUAAUGCAAAAACCGCCUAACUAGUGAAAACUUAGACUUGACAUCCACACUGGUGGUCCAUCGGGUAACUGGUGGUUUGCCAAGUGCGCCGUCAGGUCUUACCAAAAGUCCUAAAAAUUCAGAGAGUUGCAAUAGUUCAUAUGGGGGUAUGCCGCAAAGUUGACGGUCCACCACUUUGACCGUUGCAUCUUAACCAGUGGGUGUCAUUUAUGGGGUUCUUGCAACAGUCUAUUUCUUGGUCCGUCGCAAAGUUAACGGUUCACCAUUUCAAUCGUCACACCUCCUUCUUCAGAUCCAAGAUUCAAUUCGGCAUUUUGUCGAACAUUUAGCAUGCAAUCCCUAUUUUUCUAGCAAAAAUUGACACCAACUUCACAUUUAUGCACACAAAUCCAUACUUUUGAGCAUAAGGUUACUUAGACGUCGCCCACAUAGAGUAUAUUAUCAUUUUGGACUCAAAACAAGUUAAAACAAAAGAACAAAACAAGAUGAACUUUUAUCAACCAACUAAUUAUUCAUUUCAUGUUGUAUCAGUUCAAAAAUAAAAUACAUGGAGUUAUUCAUACCUUGAUUUUGCAGAAGUUACUCUUUUACUUGCUUGCAAAUGUUGAAAACAAACUUAACUUACAACUCUACAAUUUCAUUCAAGAAUGUUUGAGAUGAAGAUAAAGAGGUGAGGUGGUCACUUAAAUAGGGGAAAAGGGAGUAGAUAAAGAGUCCCAAGAAAAGAAACUGCCUUUAGAUUUCUUCGAAUCCAAAGGAAUUUGGUCAGUUGAAAAAAGCAUACAACAUAUGUAACCGCUCNNNNNNNNNNNNNNNNNNNNNNNNNNNNNNNNNNNNNNAUAAAUAAAUAACAAUUUUUAACCUAACCUGACCUAGUGUUUGGGUAACAACAAUGACAACUAUGAUGGAACACCAUUUGGGCUAUCGCUCCCUACCAGAACAUGAUCACUUAAGUUUAAUUUCAACGGUCCAAGUGAUGGUCAACCAAAUUUGUAAUGGUCCAGCACUUUUGGCCGUCGCACCUUACUAGAACAUGGUCACUCAGUUUAAUUUUGAUGGUCAAAGUGAUGGUCCACCAAAUUUGUGACGGUCCACCACUUUGGCCGUUGCACCUUACCAAAGCCUGGGCAACUCAGCUUGAUUUUUAUGGUCAGUGUGGUGGUCCACCAAUUUAGUGACCGUCCACCACUUUGGCCGUCAACUUUUUCCAGUGAAUGAAUUUUUUAGCUUCUUUGCAAUAGUUGAAAUAGUGGUCUGAUAGGUGACUGGUGGUCCACUAAUUUGGCCGUCACUUUUGUUCUAGUAGCUCAGAUUUUCCCCCCUUUUCCAAUUGUAUACUUCUUUUUGCUGCGUUUUAAAUCCUUCACACUUUAAAAAGACAUAAAAAGUGCACUAGAAUAACAAAAUAUUUUAACUAAUGCUUUACAACAACACAUUAUGGGUUGCCGCCCACUAGCGCCUGAUUUAUUAUCGCGGCAUGACUCAGUUAUCUCAAUUAUUCAAACUUCAACGAGAUAGACAGUAUCAAUAUACCUUAUCGAGUCCAUUGGACCGAUAUACAGUUUCACACGCUGCCCAUUUACCUUGAAGAUAAUUUCGUCUUCAUUUUCAAGUUCCAUUACUUUAGAUGAGUAGACUUGACUCACUUUAAAUAGGCUGGACCAUUUGAAUUUGAGCUUACCUAGAAACAAUUCGAGUCUGGAGUUGAACAGAAGCACUAAGUAAUCUCUCUAGAAAUCCUAUUUUUCAAUCCUGUGAUUGUGGUAAUUCUUCAUUCUUUCCUUGUAUAGAUCGACCCAAUCAUAAGAUCAAAGAUGGAAGUCAUCCAUCACAUUCAGCUACCCCAAUAUCAUAUUCGUUGCCUCAUUCUAAUUCAAGUUAAGACACUUCUGUGCCUCAACAAAUGACAUGCCUUGCCAUAAACCAAUUAGUAUGGUGACUGCCAAUAGGUGUCUUGAAAGCCGUUUGACAUGCCUAUAAGGCAUUAUCCAGCUUCCUAGACUAAUCCUUUCUCUAGUAUUUAUAGUCUUGGCAAGGAUAGCUUUGAUUUCCCAAUUAGAUAUUUCUACCUGACCACUGGUUUGCGGGUGGUAUGGUGUAGCCACUUUAUGAUGCUUAAAUCCGUAUUUUGCCAAGGAAGCUCUGAACAGCUUGUUGCAAAAGUUUGAUCCUCCAUCACUGAUGAUGGUACAUGGUACCUCAAAGUGAGAGAAGCUGUUUUUCCUUAGGAAUGCAACAACUCUCUUCUCUUCAUUAUCUGCCAGAGCCACUACCUCAACCCAUUUGUCACGUAGUCAACGACCACUAAUAUAUACUUCAUCCUAAAUCAUCUCACGAAGGGCCCCAGGAAAUCAAUGCUCCAGACAUUGAAUAAUUCUACCUCCAGUAUUUUAGACAUUGGCAUCUCAUGGUGCUUUGAGAUGGACCCUUGCCUUUUACAUUGGUCACACCACUUUACGAACUCGUAGGCAUGUUUAAACAAAGAGGGCUAAUAGUAGCCACUCUGAAUCACUUUUCUUGUAGUCCGAUUACCUGCAUGGUGAAAUCCAACUAGGGAAGCAUAACUCUCUUCCAGUAUACUCAAUAUAUCUACUUCUGAGAUGCCCCAUCUAAUAAUACCAUCUGCACAUCAUUAAAAAGAUAUGGCUCAUCACAGAAGUAAUGGGUCACAUCAUGGAGAAACUUUUUUUUCUUUGAUGAAAGGAAAGAUUCUCUAGUAUCACCUAGCUCACCAUAUUAUUUGCGAAAUCAGCAUACAAAGUUAUUUUCUCCAUAACAGCAGCCAAGAUAUCCUCAUCUACAAAUGCAUUAUUUAUCUCAAAUUCAGCUCUAACUGCUUGUUCACUUUCCAGCCUAUACAUAUGAUCUGGAACUUGGUUUUUGCAACCUUUUCUAUCUUUGACUUCAAAGUCAAAUUCUUGAAGUAGCAGCACCCAUCUAAUCAACCUUGGUUUUGCAUCCUUUUUUGCCAUCAAAUAUCUCAAGGCUACGUGGUCGAUGUGGACCACCACCUUGGUUCCUUGCAAAAAAGCUCAAAACUUCUUAAAAGCAUCGACUACUGCAAGAAGUUCAUAUUUUGUGAUAGUGCUAUUCUUUUGAGCUCCAUUCAUCCCUUUGCUAGCAUAAAAGAUUGGAUGAAACAAUUUGUCUUUUUUUGCUCUAGCACAGCUCCAAGAGCAACAUCGCUUGUAUAACACAUGAUCUCAAAUGGUUUUGACCAAUUUGGUGCAACAAUAAUAAUAGCAUCAACUAGCUUCCCUUUAAGUCAUUCAAAUGCCUUCAAGCAAUACUCAUCAAAGGAAAAUUUGACUUCCUUCUUCAAAAGUUUGCAAUCUUUGAGAAGUCCUUCAUAAACCUCCGAUAGAAACCAGCAUGACCAAAGAAACUAUGCAUCCCUUUCACUAAAAUAGGAGAUGGAAGCUUCUCUAUAACCUUAACUUUAUCUCGAUCAACUUCAAUCCCCUUUGCUGAAAUUUUAUGCUCAAGAACAAUGCCCCCCUUCACCAUAAAGUGGCAUUUCUCCCAACUAAGCACAAGAUUGAACUCCUUACACCGCUGCAUAGCCCUACUUAGAUUUACCAAACAUAGCUCAAACAAAUCUCCCACCACAGAAAAUCAUCCAUAAACACCUCCAAGGUAUCUCCAAUCAUAUCUAAGAAAAUAGACAUCCUGCACCAUUUAAAGGAAGCGGGUGCAUUACAUAAUCCAAACGGCAUCCACUUAACUAAAAAAGUACUGUAUGGGCAGGUGAAUGUCAUUUUUUCCUAAUCCUCUGGGGCUAUAGAAAUCUGAUUGUAACCAGAAUAACCAUCCAAGAAACAAUACCAACCUCUUCCCACCAACCGAUCAAGCAUUUGAUCCAUGAAAGGAAUUAGUAAGUGGUCCUUUAAUGUACACGAGUUGUGUUUUAUGUAAUCCAUACACACCCUACAUCCAGUAACAGGACUAAGUGGAAUCAACUUUUUCUUCUCCUUAGCCACCACUAUCAUGCCCCUUUUCUUUGUCAAGCACUGAACAGGACUUACUUUUUAUCUGAGAUGGGGUAUGCCACUCCUGCAUCUAGCCACUUGAUGAUUACUUUCUUCACCACCUCUUGCAUAGGUGGGUUAAGAUGAUGUUGAUGCUCAAUAGUUGGGACAUAAUCCUCUUCUAGCUAGAUUUUGUGUGUGCAUAUACCAGGAGGAAUACCCAUAAUGUCUGCAAUCAUCCAACCAAUAGCCCUCUUAUAUCUCUUAAGAAUAGAGAUGAGGGCUUCCACCUAUUUCUUACCUAAGUCAGCCACAAUAACAAUAGGUAAUGUAUUCCUGCUUCCCAGGAACACAUAUCUCAAAUAACCGGGCAACUCUUUCAGCUCCAAAGUGGGUGGCUUUUCAAUAGACGACUUGGCUGGUGGACUGGGACAAUUUUUCAAGUCCAAAUCCAGCUUCUUGGGUGCAUAAGAAUAAGAACCCAUGCAUGUCAAGGCUCACACAGUCUUGUCAUAAUCUUCAAUACCGUCUUGAUCAAAAUUCAUUAAUACAGCUACUAAAGUCUCUACAAUAAUUUUUUCCUCUGUAGGUACUUCCUGCUCCUCCUCCUAAUAAAUAUCCACUAGAGAAAAUACGCUCAUAUCUAAAUGUUGUCCAAUAGACUGGCAUACAUCGAUUUGAACUACUUCAUUAUUCAGCCUUAAGAUUAGCUCAUUUUCCUUUAGAUCAAUAAGUACACUGCCGAUUGCAAGGAAAGGUCUACCCAAGAUUAUGGGCACCUCAAAGACAACCUCGCAAUUAAAAAUGACACAAGCAGUUGGAAAUAUGAAACUGGACACCUUAACUAAUACGUUAUAUAGAAUCCUACGAGCUGCAUCACAAACCUAUCUGCCAUAAAUAAUCCCAUAUUUAUGGGAUAAGGAUCCCCCAAACCCAGCUUCUUAUAGAUAGAAAGCGGCAUCAAAUUUAUACUGGCUCCCAAAUUACAUAGAGCUUUUGGGAAAUCAAGAGGACUAAUAGUGCAUGAGAUAGUAAAUGCUCCCGAGUCUGCCUUUUUCUACACCAAUGACCUUGUGGAAAUAUCACCACAAUAAUGGAGAUUGUCCACCCUCAUAACUAACUGUCCACUUCUUCGUAACAAGGUCUUUCAUGAAAUUUGCGUACCCAAGCAUUUUUUCUAAUUCCUUUACUAAUGGUAAGUUAAUUUUCAACUGAUUAAGCAUAGCCAUAAACUUGCAAAACUUUAUGUCAUCAGCCUUUGUUUUUAAUUUAUGGGGAAAUGGAGGAGUUGGUUUUGGGAGCAUAGUAACCUCCACUUUUGUCUCUUUUCCCUUGCUCUUCUCCAACUUAUCACCCUGUUGAUAGUUGGAUAUUUUAUUAUCAAUAACUUAAUCCAGUUUCUCAAACUCAAUUAGAUAAUUUUUUUCAUGCUCAAUAUCCUUUGCAAUCACAGUUUUGCCCACAGAUGGGCCUGGUAACCUUACCACUUUAUGUGGUAAUUGCCAUGUAGGAGCCAUCAUAUUUAGGAUUCUAAACUAUAUUAUAUGGCAAAGUUCUGAUCUUUCUCUGAUAUAAUGCUACUGAGAGUUGGCUCAUUUGCCACUCUAACUGUUUGAUGGAAGUAUUGUGUUAGUUUACAAACUGACUCAGGAAGACAAAUCACUCUUCAUAGUAGUCAUCCUAGAGUUGGUAGUAUCAACUCUCUUCAAUAAUUUCUUCAUCAUGUCCUCCAUGGACAUCUUUCUAGAGGUAGUUAUAGCAUUGUCUCUGCUUCCACGAGGUAUAUAUAGUCCACUCCUAUCAUUUUUCCUCUUCUUGUUCCCUUAAUCUCUAUCUUUGUAACCAGCUUUGUCGUAAUAGUUUCUUCCUUGAUUUCCUUGCCUAUUACCUUAGAAACCCCCUAAUUAUUUAGAUAGUUUGGCUCUUCUUCUGAAUCAAAGUCAUCUCGUCCCUUGGAUGCAAAAACUUUCACCUUCUCCGUUUUUCCAGACAAUAGAUGCUUAGUUAGCAAAUCCAUCUGUGUCUUUAAAUGUGUCAUAUCUUCAUCACAUUCUUCCUCCUUCUAGUAUUUCUCUGUAGUCAGACACAGUAGGGAUUAGUACCACAGAAUCCCUUUUAUGCUAAGCUUUACUUUGUUUGGUUAUUCGAUCACGCAUCUCUGAAGCCUCUGAAAAAGUGAGGUCAACAAAUGACCCUCCUACAAUAUUAUCCAUAACUGGCUUCUUAAUAAAGUUCAAAGCCCUAUAAAGAGUCUUUAUAAAAUGAAUAUUUGUCAUGUUAUGGUUCGGGCAUUACAUCAACUUCUUUUUAAACCUCUCCCACAUCUCAUGAAGAGCUUCAGUGGGAAGCGAUCGAAAGUUACUGAUUUCAUCCCUCAACUGUACCCUCCUAGAGGGUGGAAAGAACCUUUCUAGGAAAUCCUUAUCAACUGCCUCUAGUUGGUUGUAGAGUUGGGAGUUAGUUCAUUUAGCCAUAGCAUCACCUUCCCAGAUAGAGACAAUGGAAACAAAUAUAGGCGGAUAGCAUUCUGACCCACUCCUGGAUUAUCAAAAGACUUGCAAAUGGUGACAAAGUUCACCAAAUAUAUUUUUGGAUUAUCUCCUGGAAGACCACUGAGCAACCCCUUUAGAUAAAAGAGUUGAAUCAUUAUAUAAUAAUAUAACAUUUAGCUCCUGGUGCUAGAGGUGGAGGAAUGAUAGCUUCAGUUGCACCUACUCCAUCCAUUCCAUCUAUGUCGUCAUUGAGAUUAAACUGCAAGAGUUUACAUUCUUGCCUUACCCUAAAGGGGUGAUUCUAUUUACAUUCCAAUUCACUGGUGAAACCAUAUUCUCUACACGCCUUGGGUUAACAGGAUCAAAUAAAUCGUCAUCCCCCAACUCAUCAUCAUCAAGAUUAGGAUGACGCACUUGCUGGUCGUUAUUCUAUUGAUUUAGUUGAGCUCUAGCUAGAGCAGCUAAUCUUUCAGUAUCUUGGGGGUCUACCAUUAUUCCAAUUAAUUAUGGUUACAAAUGUAUUGGUAAUAAUGGUGCACCUGAUUUCUUGGUACUUGGCAUACACAAUAACUACCAUGCACAGAACACAAACAACAAACAAAAGUAAAAUUUGAGAAACUUGACCAAAGGUCAAUUAAUAAACACAAACUUAAUUGACAAUCGUAUUCCCCGACAACGGAGGCAAAAUUUGAUACGCCCAAACUAUAACCCUCAUUAAAGUGUAACCGAUUAGUGUAAAAAAUAGAAGCCAACUAGGAUGGGUUUUGAAUCUCACAGGGAAUACUGUGUUCACUAAGUAUUGUGGUUAUUACUGCACUGUUGAUCGAAGGUUCCAGAAAAGAGGGGGAUUUUGAUUUAUCAAUUUUAUUCAAAUGUUUGUCACAUAAAGUAAUCCAAAUGUAGGUUAUAUUACUAAUAUUAAUUAAAUAAGAGAAGUAAAACUAGAGUUAUGGCUACCAAGAUGCUUAAGCAUCUAGGGUUGUGAGCUAUUUUGGAUUUACAAUGAACAAUUCUUAUUGCAAGAGUAAUUGAAUUUUAUGAUUUACCCAUCAGUUUAUCAACCUAAAUGAGUAACUUAUCCCUUAAUUAUUUCAAACUUAAUUAACUUAGUCUUAAUUCUACUAUAGUCUCACAUGGGUUGAUACGAUUAAGGUAUCUACACUCUAUCCAAAGGUUAAAGACUUUAGAUUUAUGUAAACCCUUUCUUCUCCCAACAAGCACUUUUCUAUUUGAACAAGUGUUGUUCUUAGGCUCACUUUUCAAGUUUGUAACCAAGAAAAGUCAUUAAAGUGAAGAAGAGUAUGCAAUAUAAAUUAAUCAUGGGAAUCUACUAGAUUCACAACCCAAAAUCAAGUUUUAAUAUCAAGGCUCCCAUAACACUAGUUAUGGGAGCUUAGCCACACAUUUUAACCCAUGAAAGAGAAGAAAACAUUGUGUUAUUCAUAAAUUAAUUCAAAGUUUACUUACAAAAAGUUUACUUACAAAAAGUCAUAAUUGUUGUUCUUUAAUAUUCAAUAGAAAAUAUGAUAAAUAAAUCUAGAUCCAGACAUAUCCAAUGAAUCUUAGAGAAAAACUAUAUAACAAUGUAUUUUUUGUAUGAAAAACCUAGUAAAAAAUUAACAGAUAGAAAGAAAGAUCCCUAAUAAAACCUAAGAUUGGGUAUUUAUAUGUUCCCUGGUAAAAAGAAUUUAAAAUUCAAAAUCAUAAAAUCUACGUCCAAAGUGAUGGCUAAAGUGGUGGUCCGUCGGAUGUCUGACGAUUCACCAAAUUAGCCUUCGAUGAUGGUCCUUGAAAGUCUAGUUCUGGUUGAGUAUGAUAGUUAAAGUGGUGGUUCAUUGGAAGUGUGGCAGUCCACCAUAUGAGCCAUCGCUGAUGGUCCUGAAUAGCCUAAUUUUUCUUAAAACUGACGACCAAAUUGGUGGUCCAUCAAAAGACUGAUGGUCUACCAUAUGGGCCGUCAUUGUGGUCCUGGAAACAUGGGUUCUAUUUAGGCCUGACGGUUGAGUUGGUGGUCCGUUGCAAGACUGACGAUCUACCAUAUGGGCCAUCCUUAGUGUUUCUGGAUGCCUUGUUUUGUAUAACACUGACGGUUAAACUGGUGGUCCAUUGUAAAACUGAUGUUCCGGUAUGUUGACCGUCAGAAGUGUUUUUCUACUAAUUUUCUAAGUCUUUUCCCUCAGCUGGCUCCUUACCCUGAAACACUAAAAACAGUAUUAAAUGCAACCUUGGUUGCUUGAAAACAAGCAAUUUUCCCAAGAAAAAGAUGAAAAAUAUUUCGUCAAAAGCCGGAACAUCAUCCCUACAUGGGAAUUUUAUGAAAAUUUGGACACGAAACACAAUAUUUAAUAUAGGUAUCAUUGUUCUCAUUUUGAUGAGUAAAUUAUGAUUUUUAUAGCGUAGCACCUUGUUGAGGCUUCUUAAAAGGGGAAAUAUGAUCUUUUAUGAUUGAUCUUGUGCUAAAAAUAUGAUAGUGUGUGAGGUUGGGGAUACUUAUCAUGAACCUACAGAUGGUAUGAUUAAGUGACUCAAUCGAUAAAGAUGACCAAUUAGAGAAGGAGAUGAUUUCUACUUGUUCUUUAAGGAAAAUCAUUGGGAUCUUUCUAAAGAGGAUCUUGAUGAAAAUGUGAACCACUUCCAUGCAAGGUUCAACAUAAUGGAUAGAGUAUGAUCCUAGGUCAUUGAUUAGGAGUAGUAAUAAUGUAGUGAGUUGAACCAUGGUUGAGAGAAUGAAGCUUCCUACUCAAAGACGGGCCCAAAGUAUAUAAACUUCAAUGUCUCAUUAAGAAUGGUGAACUGGUGGUAACAAAUAAAGUGGUAAUUAAUUUUACAUUGGCAAGUAUCAAGAUGUGUUAUGUGAUGUUUUUCCUAUGUAUUUUAACAUAUGUUGCUUAUAGACCUUGGUUAGUCAACAAAGAUGUCCAAUAUCGAGUGUAAAUCCAAAGACUUAUUUGUAUUUACAAGAGGAAAGCACACUCCUCUCACCUUAACACCAUAUCAAGUAAGUGAGGACUACAUGAUAAUAAGAGAAGUCUAGGAAGUACUUAAGAGGGAAAAAAUUGAGAAGAAAGGGAAAAACACUGCUUAAGAAAAAGAUUUGUGUGAGAUUAAUUAGAUAAGAAGAUACUUGAAGGGGGUGGGCAAGGAAUACUUAGUUGAGAGACUUGUCAAUACCAACCCACUUGUUACAGUCUAACGAUAGUACUGGUGUUUUGCCCAGUUAAUUCCUUCCCUUUUGUAGUUUCACAAAGAAAUACUUCUGAAGGAAAAUAUGAAGAAAAGUCCUUAUAAGCAUGGGAUUGAAGCAUCCAACCCCAUGGAUUAAAAGAGAAGUUACCUACCAACGAAGUGAGGAGUCUGAAUAAACUCCCACGGGUUGAUGGAUUCUUAAUGGUAAGGGGUGAAGCAUCUAACCCCAUGGAUUAAAAGAGAAGUUACCUACCAACGAAGCUCAUACAAAGAAGAGAGGUGACCAAUCCUAUUGAUACAAAAUGAUACAGGAAAAGUAAGGUCCUUGUGAAGUACAUAUAGAGUCAAAACAAGUUCAAAACCUUUUUCCUAAGGUAUGUACCUACCCUUUUCUAUUCCUAGUGAUCCUUAGAGUCAUAAUGAUAUUUCCAUUAUGGUAAGUAGGUUUUUCAAAAUAAGUGAACUCCAACAACACCAUGAUAAGAUUUAAGUCUCUAAGAUUCUUUCAUGGUCUAAUUUAUUUAUACUAAAUUGUGUGAGCUCUAUGUUUUUUAUACUGACUAUGGUUGUUGUUUGAGAAAGAAUCCAUGGUGCUUCAGUAAUGGCCAGUGUAUAUUUUUUACAUUUUUUCACUUUGUAUGUGGGUAGAUAUGUUGAUGUGUUAGGAUUGAUUGAUAUAAGAAUGAUAAGAUUAUUGGACAUAGGUAACGCCUCCUAUAGCUCCUUAGGUCUCUCAAGAAAGAUGGUUUCGAUUGUUGAUAACUUCCUUUGAAAGGUUGCUUAAGAAAGAAAGUUGUGUUGUACUUUAAAUGUCCUACCUUAACUCUUGUGUUCAAAAUAGUAAAUACUUUCUUGUUAAAAUUCAAACCUUAAGGUGUGUAUUUAUAAUAGAGAACCCUCGGGAUGAGUUGAAUACCUUUCACUUCUUUCUUUAUUACUUGUUUGCAGAUGAUGAACUUUAGUUCAAAUAUUGUCUCAUGCUUGUGAACCCCAAGGAAAAUGCAUCAUUACCUACUUUGGAAUCUUCUUAUGUACUUGCAUCCUUGUUUGACAUACUCAUGCUUUGGUCGUAUGAAUCAUAAUUGGUGGAUACUAAGUAACUUAAUUAUUUGUGGGCGAGUCCAUGGAUAUUAGAGCUUGUCACCUAAAAAAGGUUAGAUAAGUUGUGUUUUCAGAUAGAAUUCAUGGAAGCAUGCUUGAUAUUAUGAGAGGAGGAACCCAAAUUUAUUUGGAGUACUAUUUUAUAUGGAUUGAUUUGAUUCCUAAUAGAUCCCUUAACCAUUUUAAUAGUGUAAUGUCCCUUCAGGUCAUUUUCUUAAUUUCCACUUAUUUUUGUCAUUUAGAACUUUCCUAUUGUUGCCCCAAGUCAUUUUGACUUUAAGAACUGACAGUUUGGUUACUGGACAAAUCCUUUAAUUUUUAGAGCCAAUUCUCAAUUUUAAAGCCUUCACUAAAUGAAAUUGGCUACAAGGAAAAAAACACUAGUUAAACAAUCUCAUUUGCUAAUUUUAACUGUUCCGACAUAUUUAGAACAUUGAUUUUAGGUUAGGCGGACCCUUGGCUCGGGUCUCAAGACUCCUAAGUUCAUUUUGAGAUAUUCAUCAAAAGUUAAAAAAUGGCAAGUGGGUGCGGGACCCACUUUUUAUCAAAACAACCUUGGAUGGAUAUUUGGACUGCUCCAUUAUGUGGGUAACAUUAAAUUUUGUAGGGUAGCAUACUCUGCUUGAAUAUUGAGAUUCUAGAUAAUCUCGAGGGGUUGGCAAAGACUUGUUUCGCGUCCGUGAUGCCUUUGAUCAUUUAAGUGAUCUUUCAUGUCCCAGUGAAUAUACCAUUAGCAACACAAUUAUCGUAUAUGCAACCCCCUUGGUAGAGGAGCAAGUAUUGUGUACUCGAUACUGUUGUCACAAAUGCUACAUCUGCUUAGUUAGCCUAGUAUUUCUUAAGAGAACAGAGGAUUGCAUAGGCGAUCUAUAUGCUAUGCCACUAGUAUUUCUCAAGAGAACAGCGAGUCGAUGUUCGCUUAAGUGAUACAUGCAUACCUUGAAAGAAUAUAAAUAGCCCCUUUAGCCAAUUUUUCACCAUUUCUUAUCUAUUCUCUAAAAUCUUAAACCCAAAAAAAUAGUUGUUCUUUGGAGAAUCGACUGUGGGUGAUUGUGGAGCCUUAGAAUCAUUAAUUUAUCCAAUUUUCCAUUAAAUUUGUGGUAAGAUUCCCAUUAUUUUAAUGGUUCAUUUCCCAAUUUUUAUCUAAAAUCCUAAAAAGUUUGGUGACUUAAUUUUAACACCAAUAUAGCUCAGAAUCCACCCAUUUUUAGGAUAAAGUUUGCUUGAGCAUAGAGGGACGUUGUCUUGGGUUCAACUAUGUGAUUUCCCAAAAUGGUCCCCUGAUACGCUCAAAUUACAACUCUAAUUAGAGAGUGUAAGCGAUUGCUGCCAAAUUUAGAACCCAACGAGAAUGGGUGUCAAAUCCCAUAAGGAAUACUGAUUUCACUAAGUAUUGUGGUUGUUAUUGACCUGUUGACCAAAGGUUCUUGAAAAGAGGGAUAUUUUGAUAUAUCAAUUAUAUACAAAUAUUUGUCACAAAAAGUAAUCUAACUGUAGGUUAUAUUGCUAAUAGUAAUUUAAUAAGAGAAUCAAACUAGAGUUAUGGUUACCAAGAUGCUUAAGCAACUAGGGUUGUGAACUAUUUUGGAUUCACAAUGAACAAUUCUUAUUGCAGGAGUAAUUGAAUUCUAUGGUUUACCCAUUAGUUUCUCAACAUAAAUGAGUAACUUAUCCCUUAAUUCUUUCAAACUUAAGGAACUUAUUAUUAGUUCAACUAUAGUCUCACAUGGGUUGAGCUGGUUAAGUCAUCUACCCUCUAUUCCAAGGUUAAAGUCUUUAGAUUUAUGUAAACCCUUUCUUUUCCGAACAAUCACUUUUCUACUUGAACAAGUGUUGUUCUUGGGCUCACUUUUCAAGCUUGCAACCAAGAAAAGUCAUUAAAGUGAAGAAGUGUUUAUGCAAUAUCAAUUACUGAUGGGAAUCUACUAGAUUCACAACCCAAAAUCAGCUUUUUAUAUCAAGUCUCCCAUACCCCUAGUUAUGGGAGCUUAGCCACACAUUUCCACCCAAGAAAGAGAAGAAACCACUGUGUUAUUCAUUAAUUAAUUCAAAGUUUACUUACAAAUAGUCAUAAUUGUUGUUCUUCAAUCUUCAAUAGAAAAUAUGAUAAAGGAAUCUAGAUCAACACAUCUCCAAUGAAUCUUAGAGAAAUACUAUGUAAUAAUGUAUUUUUCAGUAUGGAAAACCUUGUAAAAAAAUUAAGAGAUGGAAAGAAAGAUCCCUAAUAAAACCUAAGGCCGAGUAUUUAUAUGUUCACCGGUAAAAAGAAUUUAAAAUUCAAAAUGAUAAAAUCCGCGUCCAAAGUGACGGCUAAAGUGGUGAUCUGUCGAAAGUCUGACGGUUCACCAAAUUAGCCGUCGCUGAUGGUCCGUGAAAGCCCAGUUCUAUUUAAGUCUGACGACCAAAGUGGUGGUCCAUUGGAAGUGUGGAGGUCCACCAUAUAGGCCAUCACUGAUGGUCCUAGAGAGCCCAGUUCUGCUUGAAACUGAUAGCCAAAAUAGUGGUCCGUCAAAAAACUGAUGGUCCACCAUAUGGGCCAUCGCUGAUGGUCCUGGAGAGAUGCGUUCUGUUUAGGCCUAAUGGUUAGUUGGUGGUCCGUCGCAAGACUAAUGGUCCCCCCACAUGGGCUGACACUGAAUAUUUUGAGAUUUCUAGUUCUAUAUAACACGGAUGGUUGAACUGGUGGUUCAUCACAAGACUGACGGUCCACCAUUUUGACCAUCAGAAGUGUUUUUCUUCUAAUUUUGUCAGUCUUUUCCUGUUGCUGGCUCCUUACCACGAAAAACUAAAAACCAAUAUUAAAUGCAAACUUGGUUUCUUGUAAACAUUCAAUUUUCCCAAGAAAAAGAUGAAAAAUGUUCCGUCAAAAUUCAAAACAUCAACACCCUCAACUUAAGGUCAUUGCUUAUCCUUAAGCAACUCAGCACCAAAUUGCAAAUAUGAACAAUACAAUGACAGACAUUUACUACUUAACCAUUUCUCACCUAACCACUUACUCGUUAUCCAAAUCAUGUGGUUUAACUUGUCAGAGUCUAUGACCAGCAUUGUUUCAAAUUCAAUUAUCCAGACAACAUGGAUACAAUAAUCUAUAGUGAUCAGCCAAAUUAAGUAUGACUCAGGUUGCCCUCAUAGACAAGGUGAUCCACCACUCAGUAUAUUUUGUGGAUACAAAUCAAAACCUUCUCACUCAUCAAAGAAGUAACCAACAUAGCACAUGUACCUAUAAGCUUUCCUUUAUCAUCCAACGCCCCCUUUAUAGUUGAGUUCCAAGAUCAAACAAGUUUUUUCUGGGCUAGAAAUGAGGUAUCAGGCUAGGGUAGGAAGGAAUUUUUGGUAAAAGUAACUAAGAACUAGGCUUUAUCUUGCUUUGUCUUCAAAUUCUUCUUACUAAGGCAAAUGCUUUGCUACCUCACUUAACCUUUUCUAGCUCAUUCAUGGUUCAUCGCAAUAACACCCCUUUUUUUUUAUAUAUAUACACAAGAAUCAGGCACCCACGGCUUAGGCUGAUGCCAUAAGUCAAGGUGCAUAUUGUCUUAACUAGACCAGGGCCAAAUGCUCAAAUUCAAAUUCUAGAACAACUUUCCAUUAGGCAGUUAAUCAGUCCUAUAAUAGCCACCCUUAACUUAGGUGUUUUGCCUAAGUUUAGGUACACAUUGCCCAUUACUAGGCUAGGUACAGAGGUAGGAGUCAACAACUGAAAGAGAGUAAACUAGAAUGAUUGGUGAUGAAGAAAAAUUUACAUAGUAGGGUUAAUUGCUUUGUCUAAGUGGACUAAAAGCUCAUGGUGGCUUGCCAUCCUUUCUUAUCUCAUCAACUACAAUAAAACCUCAACUGAACCAGGCAAGUUCGAUGUACUAUAUACUAUAUAAAAACUAAUACAAAAUACUCGCACACACAGUGACAACUGAGUCAUACUCAUUCUACUAUUUUUAAGAUGUGCAUCACAUGUCAUGUGUAUUACAGAUUAAUGCCAGCUAGAGAUUCACUAAUAGUUGCUCACAUAUCCUAUGAGAUAAAGGUAAAUAGUAAAAUAGAAAUAGUCAUAGUUUAAUGCCAACAUCAUUCAUCAUCCCUAUUUAUAACAAGAUACUAACACCAAUAGCACUUUUAUUUCAUGGACUAACAUCAACAACAUAAAAAGAUUUAAAAAGAAGAAAAAUCCAAAUCUAAAGUUAAACCUAGAAAAGAAAGAUGCAAACUAAACAUGAUCCUAGACAUAUCUAUUUUCCUAGAUAGCACAUGGUAGGGGUUCAUAAUAUCGGCAACACAAACCACCGAUGGUACAAGUACACCAGCCCCACAGAAAAACACAUCCAUUGUCCUCAAAGCAUUAAAUUAAAGUACAAAGGAAUCUAUGAAGUAUGGUUACGAUCUUGCAUCCUCACCUGGUGCAAUAUUGGCCCCUAUGGUGUUAGAAGCACUCAAAACCUCCCCCUCUAAUACUGGAGGAAACAUCUCUUGGAUUGAGCCUGAAAUUUUCCCUCUUGCUGGGGCAACACUAGUAGAUACUCCUGCCGCUUCAUCUUCUCCUCUCAUCUUUCUUUUUUCUUCAUCUUUCCUUGAUUUCUUUCAAUCUCUCUUUAGAUUAUGCUAUUCGUGUUGAUUUGGUGUGAUUGUUUAUCUCUUUCUCCUCUUUUCUCGUUUCCUUACAACUCGCUCAUCCAUGCGUUGCUUUUUUUUAUCUUUGAUGGGUCUUCCCAUCAGAUCAACAAUACCCUCAUCAUCAUCACUUGCAACUAAGGCUGGGUCUAAAAUAUUCUGAUGUAGUUGCCUUCUCUUUAACUCUACUAUAUCAGCCUUUGCCUCUCAAAUUCAGCCAUGAGAUUUGCACUAUCAGGGAGAGACAGUGCAUCUAGCCUUUGGUUGAUGCGGUGCUCCAUGCUGUCAAUGCUAAAGUUAAUAGUUUGGAAUGGAUGGAUUGCCUCAGCUAUAAUUUCAUCAACAAAAGCUUAAAUUUUGAUGCCCAUUUAUCUAACUAUCUCUGAAACCUCUUUUAUAGCUUCACUAAUUUUGCAAAAUUCUCUUGUGUUAACCUGUAUUCGGCAAAGUCUGCUCUUCCCAUAUAUUAUGCAGAACCCGACCCUGCAGAAGUACCUGGAGGCACAUAUUCUUAUGUUACCUAAAUGAUGAUGAGGAAUGGCAUACUUACAGAAAUUUCUGUAGCAUCAGGAGUUGGUGCAGAUUGAGUUUGGUAAGUUAGAGGCUUGGUGACACACAUCAUGAACUUUAAGUCAUUUUUUGACUUCUUAAUGUCCUAUCUAUGUGUAGCCAGGAUUUCAUUGUCAACUCCAUGAAUCAGGGGCACACCGGCCUGUUUGCAUAACUAAGUAAUUAAGCAUGGGAAUGGCAAUGCACUGCUUAUUUUAUAUUCCUUCACAAACAUCUCAUCAACAAUAAUCUAGCUGAAGUCAACUUGCAACCCUGAAACCAAACUUGCCUCCAAUAUGGCUCUGAGUUUAUCUAAGUUUCCAUAACCUUUUGUUGGCAUCAGCCUCAAGCAAACAACAGCCAACCAGAACUUAUCCUUGAAGCUAAUGGAAUAUUUUUCAAUACACUCUCGGGGAUUGGUCAACCAAGAGGGGUUUCCAUCAUCAGUCAAUAACAAAGCCAACCAAGGCAUCUGAGUAGAUGAAGUUCUCAACCUAUUCUCAAGAUCAGUUAUAGCAAGUGGAGCCUCAUAAUCUGGACCAAAGAGUAUCCUAUUAAUUGUUUGGGCUGAGAUAUUGAUAGUGACUCCUCAAACAGGUACAGACUCUUUGUUCGGUAAGCUUGUAAUAGAUGUCCUCUUUGGACAGUCCUUUUCUACCAGUGCAAGAUAAUUGGUAAAGAAUUCUCUUAUCCAAUUCAAUUGAAACACACCUGGCUGUCUACUCAUCCAUGCUAGUUCAUACUUAUUAAAAUGGUGUUCCAACUCUGGAUACUCAAGUAGCUUCAUUGUCACAAUCUGAUGUUUCUCUGCAAAUGGCCUUUUUAUCUCUCUUGUUGUAUGUAUCAAUUAGUCAUAGUUUCUCUCGUGCUCCCUCUAUGUUCCAUAUAAUCGCCUCUUAAACUUAAUGAUCCUUACACUUGAUAACAUUGGCAUCCUCAGGUUCAAUAUCCAUAUGAGUUGCUUCCAUUUGUUCUGCCACAUUGGCAGCCUCAGUUUCACCCACAGUAGGCACAGGUUGAGAUGUAGCAAUCGUUGCUUCAUGUUGGCUUGAGCUCUUACUGCUUGUACUACUGUCUCUCUCCUCUUUAGUAUGAGAGAGAAUUAGAGGUUCCGUUUCCCGUUGCCUGGUGUUGUAAGUAGGUGCAGGUUUGUCUCUACAUCUUUAGGAUCUUCCUCCUCUAUUUAGUGGUAUUUUACGAGCCAUAUUCCCAGAAACAUAAGUAAGGAAUUAAGUUAUAAUGCAAAAACAGCCUAAACAGUGAAAACUUAGACUUGACGUCCACACUGGUGGUCCAUCGGAUAACUGGUGGUCUACCAAGUAGGCCAUCAGGUCUUACCAAAAGACCUGAAAGUUAAGAGAGUUGCAACGGUUCAUAUGGUGGUCUAUCGCAAAGUUGACGGUCCACCUCUUUGGCCGUUCCAUCUUAACCAGUAGGUGUCAUUUAUAGGGUUCUUGCAAUGGUCUAUUUGGUUAUCCGUUGCAAAGUUAACGGUUCACCAUUUCAACCAUCACACCAUUUUCUUCAGAUCUAAGAUUCAAUUCGGCAUUUUGUCAAACAUUUAGCACGCAAUCCCUAUUUUUCUAGAAAAAAAUGAUACCAACUUCACAUUUAUGAACACAAAUCCACACUUUUGAGCAUACGGUUACUUAGACAUCACCCACAUAAAGUAUAUUAUCAUUUUGGACUCAAAACAAGUUAAAACAAAAGAAGAAAACAAGAUGAACUUUUAUCAACAACCAAUUAUUCAUUUCAUGUUGUAUCAGUUCAAAAAUAAAAGACAUGGAGGUUUCAUACCUUGAUUUUGCAGAAGUUACUCUUUUACUUGCUUGGAAAUAUUGAAAAUAAACUUACUUAACACUCUACAAUUUCAUUCAAGAGUUCUUGAGAUGAAGAUAAAGAAGAGAGGUGGUCACUUAAAU
This 18469-nucleotide long non-coding RNA is filed under the name Capsicum annuum. RNAcentral describes it as "long non-coding RNA (CANN_LNC019153)". Lineage: Eukaryota; Viridiplantae; Streptophyta; Magnoliopsida; Solanales; Solanaceae. The record is from RNAcentral.